ACCAGACUCCUACGGGAGGCAGCAGUGGGGGAUAUUGCACAAUGGGGGGAACCCUGAUGCAGCGACGCCGCGUGGGUGAAGAAGCGCCUCGGCGCGUAAAGCCCUGUCAGCAGGGAAGAAAAUGACGGUACCUGAAGAAGAAGCCCCGGCUAACUACGUGCCAGCAGCCGCGGUAAUACGUAGGGGGCAAGCGUUAUCCGGAUUUACUGGGUGUAAAGGGAGCGUAGACGGCCAAGCAAGCCAGGGGUGAAAGUCCGGGGCCCAACCCCGGGACUGCCCUUGGAACUGCAUGGCUGGAGUGCGGGAGGGGCAGGCGGAAUUCCUGGUGUAGCGGUGAAAUGCGUAGAUAUCAGGAGGAACACCGGCGGCGAAGGCGGCCUGCUGGACCGUGACUGACGUUGAGGCUCGAGAGCGUGGGGAGCAAACAGGAUUAGAUACCCGUGUA
Molecule: ribosomal RNA, 445 nt
Filed under: uncultured bacterium
Lineage: Bacteria
Description: partial 16S ribosomal RNA
Rfam family: Bacterial small subunit ribosomal RNA
Source: RNAcentral